UAUUAUAAAUCAAAAACUAAUAUUUUAAGUGGAUUCGAAACCAAUGUGAAAAAGUGGAAACGAAAACUACUAAAUAUAAUUUUUAAAUUUAACACAAAUUAAUAUUAAUGGACGUAAUCUAGCACAUCACCAAUAUGUAUUGCAUUAGAAUUCUACCUUCACAAGGCAUCCUCUUCUUCCUCUCCAAAACCCACCCACAAGAGCAGAUAUUAGUUCUCCCAAUCUCCGGCAGGUCACCGCCGUCGAUCGGAAUUUCACAAUUUGCUCCGCAGGUCGCCGCUGUCGACUGGAAUUUCACAAUUUGCUCCGCACAUAGGAUUUUAAAAUUUAUAUACACUAAUUAUGAACAUGGAAGUCACAUUGCGCAAAACAAGCUCAUCUUCAGCUAAUGAGGUAUAUAGACAAAGAAAAAAUCUACAAGUGAUUUGAAUUAUAAAGAAUUGUCAUCUGCAAGACGGGGAGUUUAUUCUUUUCGAGCACAAGGCAAGGUUUACAUGAUCUUCCUGGAUUGGUCCCACAAUAUACGUCUCCAACGUUUUUCAGCUAUACUUUUAUGACACAUAAAAUGAGGUUGAGAACAGAAUUAACAUAAUGCAAAAUCAAGUUUUGUCAGAAGCAGUUGUACAGAUGUUCAUAAAAAUUUUAGAGAUCAACCCGUAUGCAAAAUUCUUUCGAAGAUUGAAAGAUUAUCCUUCAA
Molecule: long non-coding RNA, 697 nt
Organism: Salvia miltiorrhiza (redroot sage)
Lineage: Eukaryota; Viridiplantae; Streptophyta; Magnoliopsida; Lamiales; Lamiaceae
Exons: 4
Source: RefSeq, a predicted model, not a curated record